Non-coding RNA from Schizosaccharomyces pombe (fission yeast), 217 nucleotides. Lineage: Eukaryota; Fungi; Ascomycota; Schizosaccharomycetes; Schizosaccharomycetales; Schizosaccharomycetaceae. The record is from the annotation of a GenBank genome assembly.
AUUAAAAUCGGGGAGACGGAACAACUUCAAUUGCGUCAAGUCAAAAUUGGAUGGGAAAAGCAUAAGAUAGGGAAAGGCGGUAGCUUCUUGUAACUAGUAUAAGCGUUAACAAAAUAAUUCAAAGAACUGGUUACGAAGUAGCAUUGUACCGUACCUGAUGAGCAAUUGAACGAACCCUAUGAUCCACUCUGUUUCCCAAAACUAAACAUCCCACUAA